RNAcentral lists this long non-coding RNA (730 nucleotides) under Homo sapiens (human). RNAcentral's name for it is "HSALNT0399946". The record is from RNAcentral. Lineage: Eukaryota; Metazoa; Chordata; Mammalia; Primates; Hominidae.
CGUGCUGCUAAGUUUGGGGGGAGGGUGUUGCGGGGGCUUGCUUCGUCCUCUCCAGUUAUCAGCCCCUCAUUCGCUCCAUCACCUAAAGUGUUAAAAAAAAAAAAAAAGGCUCUUGGGUCCCACCGUAAGAGCGCAUAAAGAGAGGAGGUACAAUGACCGUCCUUUGCCAUUGUAGGGCUCCCUAAUUUAUGCGUUUUUAGACCCUUAAGCAUCAUUUUGUGGGCAACCAAACGGGCACUUCCAAAUUAGCUCAAAGUAUCCAAGCCCAGAGAAGAGAGAAAACACACAUACACUGAUAAAUACGCAGAUGCUAACUUUAAAUAUCUCUGACUUAAGUUUAUUCUCCCAUCACUACCGUGAUCAAAAAGAAGAGAAAGACAAAAUAUCAAAACUUCCAAAUAUUUCUAGUUGUUCGCAACGGGUCUUUUUGUUGUUGUUGGAAAAAUAUAACCUGUUCAAGCGAUAUGAAAAUGGAUGCAGAAAUCAGGUCUUUUAUGAACUUGAAACACAUCGGCUAGGUCUUCAUCCUCACCUGCACUGGAAUUACCUACUUAAGAAAAACAAACUAAUGAUACACAAAGAAGCACUUAUGUACAAUAGAAGAGAAGUGUCAUCAACAUUGACAGUUCAAACGUAAAGAUCUUCUAAAUAGGGGUGAAAAAGAAAUCUUAAAGUUAUUUAUGGCUGCUCUCCUGCAUCUCUACAAGGUUAAUAGAUGAUGAUUUAUGCA